GCGGCGGAUAUCUUCCUCGGCGAGACCGAGCUCAAGGCGGCUAGGGUUUCUGGCGCAAAAAGAACAGCAACGGGGUCGCGGCGGGGUCGUAGGGACUUUAUAGGGUCUCGGGUAGUCGAUUUGGCAAGAAACCCCGGAUUUCCCGUGAUUGGAUUCGGCCGCAGACGCCGUGUCCUAUUCGGACUCGAGGAGGAAGAAGAUGGAAGGGUGCUGACGCGUGGGGCCUAGGGGUCAGCGAGUCAAAGGGAGAAGGAGGGGGGGCGCGCUGGGCUGCUGCUGGCUGAAGCGAACUGGGCCGCGAGGAUGGGAAUCGGUCCAAGCGAGGGGAAAGCGCUGGGCCGCAAGCUGGGCUGAGCCCCGGCCUGGUUUUCCAUGGGUGUUCCCCUACAUUUUUUUUCUUUUUUCUGUUUUCUUUUCCAAAACUUUUUUCCAAAGACUUUUUAAAUAGAAUUUUGAGAGCAAAUAAAUUCCAACAAAUGUCAGCAGCACAAAUAAAUAAAGAUGCUCCAGCAUGAAUGCACAAUCAGGGUUGCUACACCUAUGAUGAAUUUUUAAUUCCCACAAAAUUAUUUAGUUGCUAGAUUUAUAUGCCCACAAAAAUACUUAAAUAAAUCAAAUUAAACCCUAUUAACUGAAAUCCAAGUUUUGGGUGUUACAAACUCUACCCCCUUAAAAGAAUCUCGUCCUCGAGAUUGAACGGUGCUUACUCAAACAAGUAUGAGUAUGAUUUCCUCAGAUCAUCCUCUCUUUCCCAUGUUGCCUCUGCUUCUAAAUACUGAUUUCACUGCACUUUGCACAUUCUGAUGACCCGACUUCUGGUGACUCUCUUAGCCGUCUCCAAUAUUCUGACCGGAUAUUCUUCAUAAGUGAGAUCACCUUUAACAGAAAGCUCUUCCAAUGGUAUUUGCUCCUCGGGUAAACACAAACACUUGUUAAGUUGUGACACAUGGAACACAUCAUGCACACC
This 967-nucleotide long non-coding RNA is filed under the name Sorghum bicolor (sorghum). RNAcentral's name for it is "long non-coding RNA (SBIC_LNC015511)". The record is from RNAcentral. Lineage: Eukaryota; Viridiplantae; Streptophyta; Magnoliopsida; Poales; Poaceae.